This 66-nucleotide transfer RNA is filed under the name Cherax parvus. RNAcentral describes it as "tRNA-Tyr". It matches the Rfam family "tRNA". Rfam says of the family: Transfer RNA (tRNA) molecules are approximately 80 nucleotides in length. Their secondary structure includes four short double-helical elements and three loops (D, anti-codon, and T loops). The record is from RNAcentral. Lineage: Eukaryota; Metazoa; Arthropoda; Malacostraca; Decapoda; Parastacidae.
AAUAAGGUGGCUGAGUGUAUAGGCGUUAGAUUGUAAAUCUAAAUAGGAGUGAGAGCUUUCUUAUUA